RNAcentral lists this ribosomal RNA (253 nucleotides) under uncultured bacterium. RNAcentral describes it as "partial 16S ribosomal RNA". It matches the Rfam family "Bacterial small subunit ribosomal RNA", at positions 524 to 776 of the family's 1533-position model. The record is from RNAcentral.
UACAGAGGGUGCGAGCGUUAAUCGGAGUUACUGGGCGUAAAGGGCGCGUAGGCGGGUUAAUAAGAUUGAUGUGAAAUCCCUGGGCUUAACCUAGGAACUGCAUCGAUGACUGUGAAUCUAGAGUAUUGCAGAGGGUAGUAGAAUUUCCGGUGUAGCGGUGAAAUGCGUAGAGAUCGGAAGGAAUACCAGUGGCGAAGGCGGCUACCUGGGCAAAUACUGACGCUGAGGCGCGAGAGCGUGGGGAGCAAACAGG